GCGCAACUCAGACCACUGGAGGUGAGUUGUACCUGGAGUUUCUGUAACGUCCUCUCCCCUUUUUUUUUUUUUUAAAGCCAGAGCCUCUGUCGCCCAGGCUGCAGUACAGUGGCGUAAUCUCAGCUCACUGCAACCUCUGCCUCCUGGGAUCAAGCGAUUCUCCUCCCUCAGCCUCCCGAGUAGCUGGGAUUACAGGAUGGUGCUAGCAUAUAUAAGACUGAAACACCAAAGUCCUCCGUGGAAGUUAAUGAAUUUCUGGUUAUGAGUUGGAUUCUUCAGCGGAGUAUUUGAGCCAUGCCUUGAGGCACAUACUUCAAGUUGCUGCAUCCAGUUUUAAACUCCAGAUUGAGCUUUACAUAUUAAAUGUGCACAUUUGUUUUCACAUUUUUGAGCUUUGCCAGUGGCACCCUCUCUAAUUAAUCAUCCCGCAGGCUUAGAAAACUU
RNAcentral lists this long non-coding RNA (444 nucleotides) under Pan troglodytes (chimpanzee). RNAcentral's name for it is "lincRNA". The record is from RNAcentral. Lineage: Eukaryota; Metazoa; Chordata; Mammalia; Primates; Hominidae.